UUUUCAAUGGUAUAUGUGCCAAUAAGAUGUAACCCCCUACAUGUGUCACUGAAAAACCCUAUUAGUAUUAUGUUGCUCAUGUCAACCCUUCCUUCUUUUUGCAUGAAAAUAUCAAUACAAAUAAAAGACAAGUGAAAAUAGUCUUUGCCUUUAAAAGGCAUAUAGAAAUGGCCAAAACUAAACACAAACUAGGAGAAAAACGGGACAACUCUACUGAAACUGAAAAAACUGAAUAAUUUUAAGAAUAA
Long non-coding RNA from Sebastes umbrosus (honeycomb rockfish), 248 nucleotides. RefSeq lists it as uncharacterized. The record is from RefSeq and is a predicted model, not a curated record. The transcript is spliced from 2 exons. NCBI's taxonomy places the organism in Eukaryota, Metazoa, Chordata, Actinopteri, Perciformes, Sebastidae.